CCCUUCUCCUUUUUCGCCACUGGCUCCGCUUUCACUUCAAUCAAAUUUUCCACUUCCUCAGUAGCCACUCCUCCACUAGCUUCCGUAUCAAAAGAUUGCUCUAUUGCUUUCUCCUCUUUGACUUCUUUAAUUAUCCCUUUUCUCUCAUUAACAUUACUAUCGCUCCCAAGACUAAGCAGACUAUCACCAUUAUUUGUGAUAACCCUAUUCAAUUCAGUAGUCACCGCCAAAUCAACAUUGCUAAGAACCUGAUC
RNAcentral lists this unclassified non-coding RNA (254 nucleotides) under Hevea brasiliensis (rubber tree). The record is from RNAcentral. Lineage: Eukaryota; Viridiplantae; Streptophyta; Magnoliopsida; Malpighiales; Euphorbiaceae.